UACAGAGGGUGCGAGCGUUGUCCGGAAUCACUGGGCGUAAAGGGCGCGUAGGUGGUGGCUUAAGCGUGCGGUGAAAGCUCGGGGCUCAACUCCGAGUCGGCCGUGCGAACUGGGCUCACUGGAGCAUAGUAGAGGCAGGUGGAAUUCCGGGUGUAGCGGUGGAAUGCGUAGAGAUCCGGAAGAACACCGGUGGCGAAGGCGGGCCUGCUGG
This 211-nucleotide ribosomal RNA is filed under the name uncultured bacterium. Its description in RNAcentral is "partial 16S ribosomal RNA". It matches the Rfam family "Bacterial small subunit ribosomal RNA", at positions 524 to 732 of the family's 1533-position model. The record is from RNAcentral.